RNAcentral lists this long non-coding RNA (531 nucleotides) under Salmo salar (Atlantic salmon). Its description in RNAcentral is "lncRNA (ENSSSAG00000090946.1)". The record is from RNAcentral. Lineage: Eukaryota; Metazoa; Chordata; Actinopteri; Salmoniformes; Salmonidae.
CACGGCCAUUGCUGCUACUACACCCUCCCUUCACAUUAUUGCUGUGUGUGGUGUUUUUCUUUCAACGAUGAAUUAAGAUGCAGAAUUUAGCAGGCGCUAUUGACAAAGAUCAGUGGGAAAAAGUUGAGAUGGACUACUUUCUGUACACGGUCAGUGUGAACCGGGGUGCCUUGACACAACAACUGGCCAAGCAAGCUGUAGCUAGCUACAAACCAAACGUAAAAGACACGCUGCCUUGAAGUGUUCACCCAUGUAUACGGGUCCACAGACGACGCAAUCGCAACCACACUGCACACUGCCCUAACCCAUCUGGACAAGAGGAAUACCUAUGUAAGAAUGCUGUUCAUCGAUUACAGCUCAGCAUUUAACACCAUAGUACCCUCCAAACUCGUCAUUAAGCUUGAGACCCUGGGUCUCGACCCCGUCCUGUGCAACUGAGUCCUGGACUUCCUGACGGGCCACCCCAGGUGGUGAGGGUAAGAAACAACAUCUCCACCCCGCUGAUCCUCAACACUGGGGACACACUAGGGU